GGAGGGAGCUGAAGAAUCGCUCCAGUCUUAAUCGGAGAGGAAAGUCCGGACUCCAUAGAACAGGGUGAUGGUUAACGACCACCGUUCCGAUAUUGUCGGAAUAGGGAAAGUACCACAGAAAAUAAACGGCCAAAUUAACCCUAAAGGUUAAAUGGCAAAGGUGAAAAGGUGUGGUAAGAGCACACCGCUUUAAUGGUGACAUUAAAGGCAUGGUAAACCCCACUUGGAGCAAGGUCCAAACUGAAAAAAGGAGUUGUUCGCUCCGUCAGAUUUUCUAUGUUGACCGCAUGACCCCGAUAGUAAUAUCGGGGCUAGAAAAAUGAUUCUUAACCCCGCCCCAAAAUGUUGUAAGAUAAUGCAGUAAAACUAAAAAAAUAUUUUGGCAUUAUAAUCUACAUUUUGGAGCUGGGUGAACAGAAUCCGGCUUACACGCUUCCUCCUGAU
RNAcentral lists this RNase P RNA (444 nucleotides) under Elusimicrobia bacterium RIFOXYD2_FULL_34_30. RNAcentral describes it as "RNase P RNA component class A". It matches the Rfam family "Bacterial RNase P class A". Rfam says of the family: Ribonuclease P (RNase P) is a ubiquitous endoribonuclease, found in archaea, bacteria and eukarya as well as chloroplasts and mitochondria. Its best characterised activity is the generation of mature 5'-ends of tRNAs by cleaving the 5'-leader elements of precursor-tRNAs. RNAcentral also lists the same sequence under 1 other name. The record is from RNAcentral. Lineage: Bacteria; Pseudomonadati; Elusimicrobiota.